Molecule: non-coding RNA, 92 nt
Organism: Achromobacter piechaudii HLE
Lineage: Bacteria; Pseudomonadati; Pseudomonadota; Betaproteobacteria; Burkholderiales; Alcaligenaceae
Source: Rfam
CCCUAUGGGCGGGCCUUGGCGAGGGUGCGUUCGCGCACGCCGGUUUCCAAAGACGCCGGUCUUCCAACCUUGCCUUGUGCCCGCCCACCCCA